This is an RNA transcript of Choloepus didactylus (southern two-toed sloth), 1015 nucleotides long. It is a transcript of the gene named protein diaphanous homolog 1-like, with no coding region annotated. Lineage: Eukaryota; Metazoa; Chordata; Mammalia; Pilosa; Megalonychidae. The transcript is spliced from 3 exons. The record is from RefSeq and is a predicted model, not a curated record.
CCCGCCCCCGGGCCCCCGCUGUGGUUCCGGCUCGGGCGGAGGACAUGGGGCCCCUUGGCUUCUGCUUCCCCUGUGCGGGGCUGGCCCAGCGCGCGGCUGCCCAUGUCUUUCCUUUCCUUUCCUCAUUCCCUUCUUUCUCCUGGAACAGAUGCCCCUUUCUCUGGUGGCUGACGGCGCCGGGGGCCGGGGCGGCCCUUCCUGCCCUGCCCUGUGGGCCAUGGGGUGCGGGCGCUAGGCGGGGGCGGCUGUUUCUACCUCCCCAGCCUGCCCUCUGCCAGCCCUCUCAGAGCCGGCGGGCUGCUCGCGCCUCCGUCCCACCGGGCGCCCCAGCCUCGGCUCCCUGCCUGGGGCCCGGCUGCCCACCCUGCUGGCCUGUCACUCCCAGCCCAGGACAACGGGGCCACUUCAGAUUCUCUCGGUGGAUCUGACCGCGCUCCUUGUUUUCCCCCAACAAAGAGGUCAGUGUCUCGAUUCUGAGCCCGAUAACCAUCGAAACCCUAUCUCCACCGCGUCCGCCGCUACAGCUUCACCGGAGGCUGUUCCCAAACCUCGCCGAGCACGUCAGAAGCCGCAUCACAGCGGCGGCGGUGCGGGCAGAGCCCACUGUGCAGACUGGCUUGGAACCCAAGAAGCAAAUGCUGCAGCCCAGCCCAGAAGCAAAUGCUGCUCUGUCCUUGGGCUCCCCUGGUGCCCCCAGACCCUGCAAGGAUCCAAACUUCACAGGUUCCGGAGCUGGCCCUAAAGCAUCGAUUCUGCAGCCUGGUUCAGCGCGGGGACCUGCCCGAGGCCCCACGGCCAGGCCUUCCCGGGGUGCCCCCCCAGCCUCUGGCGCCUGCGGGGCGGUGGGGCUCCGCCUGUUCCCCGGCCCCGAGGAGCAGGGAGCCCGCCUGCCCCCACUCACCCCGCCUGCCUCCUUCCCGAGGGCCGAGGGGGCCGGGAGGACGGGGCCGCAUCAGGGGCUCGAUAAGGGCCGCUGAAACGUUAGCAAAAAUAUUUAGACAAUAAACGAAGUACC